RNAcentral lists this ribosomal RNA (370 nucleotides) under uncultured marine eukaryote. RNAcentral's name for it is "bacterial SSU rRNA". It matches the Rfam family "Eukaryotic small subunit ribosomal RNA", at positions 1 to 369 of the family's 1831-position model. The record is from RNAcentral.
AACCUGGUUGAUCCUGCCAGUAGUCAUGUGCUAGUCUACAAAGAUAAAGCCAUGCAUGUCUAAGUACAAGCCUAAAUAAGGUGAAACCGCGAAUGGCUCAUAAAAUCACACCUAAUGUACUGGAUAGUCUCAGUUACUAGGAUAACUGCGGUAAUUACUGGAGCUAAUACAUGCGCAAAACUGCGACUCACGGAGCAGUGCUUUAAUAAGAUCAAAACCAAACGGCUUUGCCGUUACCUAUUGGUGAUUCUGAAUAACUAUGGGCUGAUCGCAUGGCCUUGAGCCGGCGACGUAUCCUUCCAUGGUGUGCCCUAUCAACUGUCAACUGUGGCAUAGAACGCCCACAGUGGUUUUGACGGGUAACGGGGAA